This 253-nucleotide ribosomal RNA is filed under the name uncultured bacterium. RNAcentral describes it as "partial 16S ribosomal RNA". It matches the Rfam family "Bacterial small subunit ribosomal RNA", at positions 524 to 776 of the family's 1533-position model. The record is from RNAcentral.
UACAGAAGCCUCAAGCGUUACCCGGAUUUACUGGGCGUAAAGGGUGUGUAGGUGGUGUGAUCAGUCUUGUGUUAAACCUUCGGGCUCAACCCGAAGCGCGCGCGAGAUACGGUCACACUAGAGGAAGUAAGAGGUGUGUGGAACUCAAGGUGUAGGGGUGAAAUCCGUUGAUAUCUUGGGGAACACCAAAAGCGAAGGCAACACACUGGUACUUUCCUGACACUGAAACACGAAAGCGUGGGUAGCGAAUCGG